RNAcentral lists this ribosomal RNA (253 nucleotides) under uncultured bacterium. RNAcentral's name for it is "partial 16S ribosomal RNA". It matches the Rfam family "Bacterial small subunit ribosomal RNA", at positions 524 to 776 of the family's 1533-position model. The record is from RNAcentral.
GACGUAGGGGGCAAGCGUUGUUCGGAAUUAUUGGGCGUAAAGAGCGUGUAGGCGGCCACUUAAGUCCUGCGUGAAAUCUUGCGGCUCAACCGCAAGCGGUCGUGGGAAACUGGGUGGCUAGAGUGCGGGAGAGGAGAGUGGAAUUCCUGGUGUAGCGGUGGAAUGCGUAGAUAUCAGUCGGAACACCGGUGGCGAAGGCGGCUUCUUGGGCCCUACCUGACGCUGAGGCGCGAAAGCCAGGGGAGCGAACGGG